RNAcentral lists this ribosomal RNA (322 nucleotides) under uncultured eukaryote. Its description in RNAcentral is "partial 18S ribosomal RNA". It matches the Rfam family "Eukaryotic small subunit ribosomal RNA", at positions 1470 to 1796 of the family's 1831-position model. The record is from RNAcentral.
CCCUUAGAUGUCCUGGGCCGCACGCGUGCUACACUGAGUGGAUCAGCGGGUCAGGUUGCGCGAAAGCGUUUCCUAAUCUUUAAAUCCGCUCGUGAUGGGGAUUGACGGUUGCAAUUUUCUGUCAUGAACGAGGAAUACCUUGUAAGCGCGGGUCAUCAUCCCGCGCUGAAUACGUCCCUGCCCUUUGUACACACCGCCCGUCGCUCCUACCGAUUGAGUGGUCCGGUGAGGCUUUGGGAUCUGAGCGGAAAGAGCGUUUCGCUGUUUCUGCUCGGAAAACCCAGUCGAACCUUAUCAUUUAGAGGAAGGAGAAGUCGUAACA